UGUUGGUGAGGUAGUGGCUCACCAAGGCGACGACGGGUAGCCGGCCUGAGAGGGCGACCGGCCACACUGGGACUGAGACACGGCCCAGACUCCUACGGGAGGCAGCAGUGGGGAAUAUUGCACAAUGGGCGAAAGCCUGAUGCAGCGACGCCGCGUGAGGGAUGACGGCCUUCGGGUUGUAAACCUCUUUCAGCAGGGAAGAAGCGAAAGUGACGGUACCUGCAGAAGAAGCGCCGGCUAACUACGUGCCAGCAGCCGCGGUAAUACGUAGGGCGCAAGCGUUGUCCGGAAUUAUUGGGCGUAAAGAGCUCGUAGGCGGCUUGUCACGUCGGUUGUGAAAGCCCGGGGCUUAACCCCGGGUCUGCAGUCGAUACGGGCAGGCUAGAGUUCGGUAGGGGAGAUCGGAAUUCCUGGUGUAGCGGUGAAAUGCGCAGAUAUCAGGAGGAACACCGGUGGCGAAGGCGGAUCUCUGGGCCGAUACUGACGCUGAGGAGCGAAAGCGUGGGGAGCGAACAGGAUUAGAUACCCUGGUAGUCCACGCCGUAAACGGUGGGCACUAGGUGUGGGCAACAUUCCACGUUGUCCGUGCCGCAGCUAACGCAUUAAGUGCCCCGCCUGGGGAGUACGGCCGCAAGGCUAAAACUCAAAGGAAUUGACGGGGGCCC
RNAcentral lists this ribosomal RNA (665 nucleotides) under Streptomyces albidoflavus. RNAcentral's name for it is "bacterial SSU rRNA". It matches the Rfam family "Bacterial small subunit ribosomal RNA", at positions 247 to 922 of the family's 1533-position model. Lineage: Bacteria; Bacillati; Actinomycetota; Actinomycetes; Kitasatosporales; Streptomycetaceae. The record is from RNAcentral.